GCGGGGGUAGCCAAGUGGUCAAAGGCGGUAGAAUCUUGACCUACUCCCUUAGAGUUAGAGGAAUGGGUUCCAGGGUUCGAAUCCCUGCCCCCGCA
RNAcentral lists this transfer RNA (95 nucleotides) under Candidatus Aenigmatarchaeota archaeon. Its description in RNAcentral is "tRNA-Lys". It matches the Rfam family "tRNA". From Rfam's summary of the family: Transfer RNA (tRNA) molecules are approximately 80 nucleotides in length. Their secondary structure includes four short double-helical elements and three loops (D, anti-codon, and T loops). The record is from RNAcentral. Lineage: Archaea; Nanobdellati; Candidatus Aenigmatarchaeota.